AAUCAAGCAGUCUCUCACGUUGGAUAUGGCCAGAUUAAAAAGAAAAAAAAAUCCCCUCCUCUCUCUCAUGCCCGAUGGCCUGAUGCACGAUGGCGUUCCGGCUCCUCCGUCCGGGGCCCCUCCCUCUCCAGGCUCCUCCGUCCGGUGGCGGCGCACUGCACUCCCAUCUGGCGAUGCCCCCAUCCAUCCCGGUGGCUAGCCUCCCACGCCACAAUGUCGCCUCCCAUCCUGGAUGUUGCAUGGCAGAGGGCCGUGAGGUCCCAGCCCCAAGCAGCAGGGUCCUCCUCCAACUCCGGCGCAUGUCACCCAGCAGGCUCUCGUCGAACUCCGGCGCCCAGCAGGCCAUCCUUGAACUCUGGCGUACGUCGCCUAGUAGGGCCUUCUCAGAUCCCGUCGGCAGAAAGCCUGGCUCGCUCAGAUCUGGUCGGCAAGUAGGAGGAGCUUCGAGCGGGAUGAGGAGCACCAGAUGAAAAACGAGCAGAUCGAGCAGGAUGAAGAGCGAGUAGAUUGACAAGUAGUGGAUGGGGGCGGUUCCUCCUCUCCUAGCCCACGUAACAAGCUCCGAUGGCACAUCUUGGGCAGCACGCGACCUCCAAUGAACUACUUGAGUGUCCAUGGCAGGAGCUUCACUAGGCAGCUACAGAGGGUGCUCAACAUUUUCCUUUCGACUGUAUUGUUCCAUCUGAUGCAACUCUAUUGGAUACUUAGGAUCGGACAUUUAUAUUUCAAGUUGAUUGAAAUUCUAUUGGAUAAUGUGUAAGAUCGAACAUUUAUACUGUUGGAGCAGCUAUAUGUGCACUUCGUCUAGACAAUUCUAUACAUUGUUGGAGCAUGCUUUUAUGCAUUGUUACAAUAUUGUGAUAUAUGCUGUUGGAACAAUUAUUCGUAUAGUGGUUCCAGCAGUGGAUAUAUUUGAAUUCCAGCAGUGGAUACAAAGAUCCACGUUUAUGGUUCGUGCAUAAUUCAUCUUCAUUGUUUUGUUUGUAGAUUUUGAGUUAUUAUGCUUGAGUGCAUAAGUUUCUAUGCAUGGUUAAACUAUAGCUUGGUAUGUAUUCCAUAUAUUUUUACAACAAAUUAGCCUAUAUUUUUGGAGCAGUUAACUAUACACUUCUACAGCUAUAUACAUAGUUGGAGCACCUUUUUUAUGCAAUGUUGAUGCUUCUAUUUACAGAAAAAAAUUGUUUUUGUGCUUGCAUAUAUGAGUUUCUAUGCAUAGUAAUUAUGUUUUGGCAAUCUGACUAAAUAAAUUUCUAUGUAUUAUUAGAGCACAUUUCUAUACAUUAUCUAAGCACAUUAUUUGACCUGAGUAGAAUAAAAAUUUGUAUCAUUCAUUAUCCAGACCAAGGAGGCCAUCGCCACGGUCCUUAAGGAUGUCCUCCUCAAUGACAACAACGCUGAGGAUCAAUUCAACAACUGUAGCAAGGCACUGCGUCCAGGUCAUUGUCGUGAAGCAAUCUUUCACUGCAUAUCACUAGUUAUUCAUUCUUCUUUUUAUAUAUUAUUAGAACAAAUUUCUACUUUAUAAUUUAGCUAUAUCAGAGCCCUUGUGAUGAAAUAUUUUUAGCUAUAUCAGGCACUGCAUCUCUAGUUCCUAGCUUUAGCCUAGUUAGAUUAUAAGUAUAAUAGUUCUAGUUCUUCAGCGGGAUCUGGAGCCCCUGGCGUCUGUGGAGCGUGGAGUUCGGUAUAGUUCUAGUACAUUUCUCUUAUUGUAUUCAAUAUUAUGAUUCCGACAACAUUGUUCUAGAGAUGCUCUAAUGAUUGUUCUAGAGAUGCUCUGAUGAUUUCUCUUAU
This is a long non-coding RNA of Sorghum bicolor (sorghum), 1791 nucleotides long. RefSeq lists it as uncharacterized. Lineage: Eukaryota; Viridiplantae; Streptophyta; Magnoliopsida; Poales; Poaceae. The record is from RefSeq and is a predicted model, not a curated record. The transcript is spliced from 3 exons.